CCUGAGGGUUGCUCCAGUAAGAAUGAGCUGAUAUGUAAUAUUUUACAAUAAAUUUGAUUGCUUUAGAACUUAGAAGCCAUUUAAUAUACUGUACCACAGACAUACUGACUAGUAUUUACCUCAUAACCGAUGUAUUCUUCCAGUGUUCCUCUAAACAAGCUUUUGUCUUUCGUAAAUAAUUUCUUCUUUCUUUCUUUUUCUUAGCGCAACUCUUCUUCGCUUGGAUAUUCAAGGCGGGAAGAGUGGUCAGGGCCUUCUCAAGGGAUACAUUAAACACUUGUUGGAAUACUGGGUUAAUUUCAUCAUACACCGUCUGUGCGCCAGUCUGGUAUUCUCGUCGUGUACACUUGAUCUGUACAGGCUGUUUAUUUACAUUAGCUGCUAUAUUUUGAGCCACAACCACAGGAUUUUUUUUAAGAAAGCCUUGAAAUUGCCUUGAAUUAACCGGGAAUAAAGCCUGAUACACGGAGUAUCUGUGACAACAGCUGGGGCAAUCCAUCAAGCUGUGUUCAUCUUUGCGCGUAGUGGAUAAUUCUUUCCAGCUAUCGGCAGAGAAAGCUUUCAGGUAUUGGUCUCGUUCUCUGUAUUUACGGGGAUUCCAACCACUGAACUUCUUACGCAAGUCUGGCAGCUUUCUCUCAAAGGUUUUGUAGUCCACUGUAAACUUCGUGCUGCCAAACAUUUGGCAGAAGAGUUCGUGAAUAGCCUGUACAGUACGCACGCGAUGCUGAUAUGGUGUUUCAGUGUCAACGCGCUUUAUGUUAACUACAGCAUCUUUCGUAAAUCGCCAAAUUGCUGCCUUGGCAAAUCCACACGUAUGUGGGUGAAUAAAACUGACAACCAUGGCGAUAAAGUAGAAUUUUGAUGUAUUUUUAUAGCUUUGUGCGGACUUCGAGACGUGAGUCUAUCGAAGCAAAUUUUGAAUCUGGCGC
This is a non-coding RNA of Paramuricea clavata, 932 nucleotides long. Lineage: Eukaryota; Metazoa; Cnidaria; Anthozoa; Malacalcyonacea; Plexauridae. The record is from the annotation of a GenBank genome assembly.